AGCUAGUUAGUUGACAUGGCAUCUAAAUUGCCAGAUUUUUGCUCUAUCCAUCAACCUAAUGAGCAGCAAAUAGAGGUUUUUGCUGAGGGGAAAGUAAUAAAACGAAUACAGUGGGACAGCUUUGGCCCAGGGACACGUCUGGAGAUUAAACGGAAUGAUGCCCAGCCAUCCGUCUUUUUGUUCCAACCAUCUCCGGACCAGUUACAUACCGGCAGUGCCUCUGUCGUGUGCUUGCUGAAUGGCUUCUACCCCAGAGACGUCAAUGUCAAAUGGAAGGUUGAUGGUGUUACCAAAAACACAGGCAUCCUGGAAAGUGUCACAGAACAGGACACCAAGGACAGCACCUACAGCCUCAGCAGCACCUUGACGCUGCCCAGUACGGAGUACCUAAGUCAUGAGAAGUACUCCUGUGAGGUCACUCACAAGAGCCUGUCCUCCCCUCUUGUUAAGAGCUUCCAAAGGAGCGAGUGCCAAUGAGUGGCCUAGCAGCCCCCACCACCUAUCCCUCAGUCCCAGCCUCUGUGCCUCCCCCGUCAGGCCUCUGGUCCUUUCCAUCAGAGACCCACCCCUGUUGCAGACCCCUCUCCCCACCUUACUACCUCCCCCUUUGGCUUUAAUCAUGCUAAUAAUAUUUGGGGGGAACGAAUAAAUAAAGUGAAUCUUUGCACCUGUGA
Non-coding RNA from Lontra canadensis (Northern American river otter), 674 nucleotides. Lineage: Eukaryota; Metazoa; Chordata; Mammalia; Carnivora; Mustelidae. The record is from the annotation of a RefSeq genome assembly.